RNAcentral lists this ribosomal RNA (472 nucleotides) under uncultured bacterium. RNAcentral describes it as "bacterial SSU rRNA". It matches the Rfam family "Bacterial small subunit ribosomal RNA", at positions 355 to 825 of the family's 1533-position model. The record is from RNAcentral.
UCGGGAAUUUUGGGCAAUGGGCGAAAGCCUGACCCAGCAACGCCGCGUGAGUGAAGAAGGCCUUCGGGUUGUAAAGCUCUUUUGUCAGGGAAGAAACGGUAGUAGCGAAUAACUAUUACUAAUGACGGUACCUGAAGAAUAAGCACCGGCUAACUACGUGCCAGCAGCCGCGGUAAUACGUAGGGUGCAAGCGUUAAUCGGAAUUACUGGGCGUAAAGCGUGCGCAGGCGGUUGUGUAAGUCAGAUGUGAAAUCCCCGGGCUCAACCUGGGAAUUGCAUUUGAGACUGCACGGCUAGAGUGUGUCAGAGGGGGGUAGAAUUCCACGUGUAGCAGUGAAAUGCGUAGAUAUGUGGAGGAAUACCGAUGGCGAAGGCAGCCCCCUGGGAUAACACUGACGCUCAUGCACGAAAGCGUGGGGAGCAAACAGGAUUAGAUACCCGUGUAGUCCCUGAGCGGGCUGGCAAGGCGCAU